This 240-nucleotide ribosomal RNA is filed under the name Enterobacter asburiae. Its description in RNAcentral is "partial 23S ribosomal RNA". It matches the Rfam family "Bacterial large subunit ribosomal RNA", at positions 1122 to 1360 of the family's 2925-position model. The record is from RNAcentral. Lineage: Bacteria; Pseudomonadati; Pseudomonadota; Gammaproteobacteria; Enterobacterales; Enterobacteriaceae.
UUUAAAGAAAGCGUAAUAGCUCACUGGUCGAGUCGGCCUGCGCGGAAGAUGUAACGGGGCUAAACCAUGCACCGAAGCUGCGGCAGCGACGCUUAUGCGUUGUUGGGUAGGGGAGCGUUCUGUAAGCCGUUGAAGGUGUGCUGUGAGGCAUGCUGGAGGUAUCAGAAGUGCGAAUGCUGACAUAAGUAACGAUAAAGCGGGUGAAAAGCCCGCUCGCCGGAAGACCAAGGGUUCCUGUCC